GGCUCAGGAUGAACGCUAGCUACAGGCUUAACACAUGCAAGUCGAGGGGGAAACGAUAUUGGAAGCUUGCUUCUGAUAGGCGUCGACCGGCGCACGGGUGAGUAACGCGUAUCCAACCUGCCCAUCACUUGGGGAUAACCUUGCGAAAGUAAGACUAAUACCCAAUGACGUCUCUAGAAGACAUCUGAAAGAGAUUAAAGAUUUAUCGGUGACGGAUGGGGAUGCGUCUGAUUAGCUUGUUGGCGGGGUAACGGCCCACCAAGGCGACGAUCAGUAGGGGUUCUGAGAGGAAGGUCCCCCACAUUGGAACUGAGACACGGUCCAAACUCCUACGGGAGGCAGCAGUGAGGAAUAUUGGUCAAUGGGCGAGAGCCUGAACCAGCCAAGUAGCGUGAAGGAUGACUGCCCUAUGGGUUGUAAACUUCUUUUAUAAAGGAAUAAAGUCGGGUAUGCAUACCCGUUUGCAUGUACUUUAUGAAUAAGGAUCGGCUAACUCCGUG
Molecule: ribosomal RNA, 500 nt
Filed under: uncultured bacterium
Lineage: Bacteria
Description: bacterial SSU rRNA
Rfam family: Bacterial small subunit ribosomal RNA
Source: RNAcentral